Non-coding RNA from Myotis lucifugus (little brown bat), 76 nucleotides. The record is from Rfam. NCBI's taxonomy places the organism in Eukaryota, Metazoa, Chordata, Mammalia, Chiroptera, Vespertilionidae.
GAGAUACCCUUAUGGGGUAAGACUUGUUUCAGGGGGGCUUUGGUGCUCACUGAGUCUGCCCCCUGAGUGUGUCCCU